UUUUGUAUUCUCAAGCAAAAA
Molecule: microRNA, 21 nt
Filed under: Corchorus capsularis
Lineage: Eukaryota; Viridiplantae; Streptophyta; Magnoliopsida; Malvales; Malvaceae
Description: sRNA CCACVL1_11867
Source: RNAcentral